UGUCUUCGUCGUCCGGAAUGG
Molecule: small RNA, 21 nt
Filed under: Arabidopsis thaliana (thale cress)
Lineage: Eukaryota; Viridiplantae; Streptophyta; Magnoliopsida; Brassicales; Brassicaceae
Description: ATSL125440
Source: RNAcentral